Molecule: ribosomal RNA, 887 nt
Filed under: Cordyceps javanica
Lineage: Eukaryota; Fungi; Ascomycota; Sordariomycetes; Hypocreales; Cordycipitaceae
Description: partial large subunit ribosomal RNA
Rfam family: Eukaryotic large subunit ribosomal RNA
Source: RNAcentral
AGCAUAUCAAUAAGCGGAGGAAAAGAAACCAACAGGGAUUGCCCCAGUAACGGCGAGUGAAGCGGCAACAGCUCAAAUUUGAAAUCUGGCCCUCGGGUCCGAGUUGUAAUUUGUAGAGGAUGCUUUUGGCGAGGUGCCUUCCGAGUUCCCUGGAACGGGACGCCAUAGAGGGUGAGAGCCCCGUCUGGUCGGACACCGAGCCUCUGUAAAGCUCCUUCGACGAGUCGAGUAGUUUGGGAAUGCUGCUCAAAAUGGGAGGUAUAUGUCUUCUAAAGCUAAAUAUUGGCCAGAGACCGAUAGCGCACAAGUAGAGUGAUCGAAAGAUGAAAAGCACUUUGAAAAGAGGGUUAAAAAGUACGUGAAAUUGUUGAAAGGGAAGCGCCUAUGACCAGACUUGAGCCCGGUGAAUCAUCCAGCGUUCUCGCUGGUGCACUUUGCCGGGCCCAGGCCAGCAUCAGUUUGGCGCGGGGGAUAAAGGUGACGGGAAUGUGGCUCCCUCGGGAGUGUUAUAGCCCGCUACGUAAUACCCUGCGCCGGACUGAGGUACGCGCAUUGCAAGGAUGCUGGCGUAAUGGUCAUCAGCGACCCGUCUUGAAACACGGACCAAGGAGUCGUCUUCGUAUGCGAGUGUUCGGGUGUCAAACCCCUACGCGUAAUGAAAGUGAACGCAGGUGAGAGCUUCGGCGCAUCAUCGACCGAUCCUGAUGUUCUCGGAUGGAUUUGAGUAAGAGCAUACGGGGCCGGACCCGAAAGAAGGUGAACUAUGCCUGUAUAGGGUGAAGCCAGAGGAAACUCUGGUGGAGGCUCGCAGCGGUUCUGACGUGCGAAUCGAUCGUCAAAUAUGGGCAUGGGGGCGAGAGACUAAUCGAACCUUCUAGUAGCUGGUU